GUGGCGACACGUGUAGCUGACGGAUACUAAUCGAUCGAGGACUUAACUAA
RNAcentral lists this ribosomal RNA (50 nucleotides) under Anoxybacillus flavithermus. RNAcentral's name for it is "partial 23S ribosomal RNA". Lineage: Bacteria; Bacillati; Bacillota; Bacilli; Caryophanales; Anoxybacillaceae. The record is from RNAcentral.